RNAcentral lists this ribosomal RNA (468 nucleotides) under uncultured bacterium. Its description in RNAcentral is "partial 16S ribosomal RNA". It matches the Rfam family "Bacterial small subunit ribosomal RNA", at positions 28 to 507 of the family's 1533-position model. The record is from RNAcentral.
GACGAACGCUGGCGGCGUGCUUAACACAUGCAAGUCGAACGGAAAGGCCCUGCUUUUGUGGGGUGCUCGAGUGGCGAACGGGUGAGUAACACGUGAGUAACCUGCCCUUGACUUUGGGAUAACUUCAGGAAACUGGGGCUAAUACCGGAUAGGAGCUCCUGCUGCAUGGUGGGGGUUGGAAAGUUUCGGCGGUUGGGGAUGGACUCGCGGCUUAUCAGCCUGUUGGUGGGGUAGUGGCUUACCAAGGCUUUGACGGGUAGCCGGCCUGAGAGGGUGACCGGCCACAUGGGGACUGAGAUACGGCCCAGACGCCUACGGGAGGCAGCAGUGGGGAAUAUUGCAGAAUGGGCGGAAGCCUGAUGCAGCAACGCCGCGUGCGGGAUAACGGCCUUCGGGUUGUAAACCGCUUUCGCCGUUGACGAAGCGUGAGUGACGGUAAUGGGUAAAGAAGCACCGGCUAACUACGUG